UUCGGUGGCUAUAGCGGAGAGGAAACACCCGUUCCCAUUCCGAACACGGAAGUUAAGCUCUCCAGCGCCGAUGGUACUGCAUGGGUAACUGUGUGGGAGAGUAGGACGCUGCCGAAA
This 117-nucleotide ribosomal RNA is filed under the name Syntrophobacterales bacterium. The record is from RNAcentral. Lineage: Bacteria; Pseudomonadati; Thermodesulfobacteriota; Syntrophobacteria; Syntrophobacterales.